UACAUCAACAUUUCAGAAUAGAAAGAAAUAAUUUUUUGUUAGCUCUUCAUUAUUUACAUUAUUUAUUAGAUUAUUUAGUGAUGAAAUUUAUAUUUACAAGGUUUCAUAACGAAUCAUUCAUGAUUGGCCAAAUCAUUGAUACAAAUAAUAUCCAAAUACCAAAUCCGCCUUCUAGAUAACCUUCGCGAAAUGGAAGAAACCCUUGGAAAGGUCAGGGAAAAAACUUGUUCUUCUUCCGUAAAGAAUUCUUCUAAUAAUUCCGAGCCGAAUCUUUUCAAAAAAGCACGUACAGUGCUUUUAUGCUUACGAGCUAAAGUUCUAGCACAAGAAAGUCGAAGUAUAUACUUUACUCGAUACAAACUCUUUUUUUUUGAAGAUCCACUAUGAUAAUGAGAAAGAUUUCUGUAUAUACGCCCAAAGCGGUCAAUAAUAUCAGAAUCUGAGAAAUCGGCCCAAAUCGCCUUACCAAUAGGAUGCCCCAAUGCAUUACAAAAUUUAGAUUUAGCCAAUGAUCCAAUCAAAGGCAUAAUUGGAACAAUAGUCUCAAACUUCUUAAUAGCAUUUUCAAUUAUAAAUGCAUUUUCUAGCAUUUGACUGCGUACCAUUGAAGGCUUUAGCCGCACACUUGAACGAUAACCCAGAAAGUCAAGGGAAUGAUUGGAUAAUUGGUUUAUAUAAAUCCUUCCUGGUUGAGACCACAGGUAAAAAUAAGAUUUCCAGAAAUUGACAAAGUAAUAUGUCACACCCCAAAACCGGAACGGCGGAAACGUUCUGGGGUGGAUGACGUCAUGUCAAGUAUCACAACACGUGCAUUAUAGUAAUCAAGUACAACAAAACAUUGCAUUAAUAGUAAUAAUUUUACAUGAUUACAUUACAACAAUUCAAAGUAUACAAGUAAUAGAAUAAAUACAGCGUGGUACUAAGCUAUCUUCAUCAACAGCUCCGGGGGUGUACUUGUCUAAUGCUAACCUGAGAAUACAAGUUAUUUGAAAAGCGAGUAUCAGCAUUUUUACAAAUGCUGGUGAGUUCAUAAGAAUUUAGUGACGUUUCAAUCAAAUAACUUUAAUAAGUAGUAGUUUAAGUGUUUUCUGUGUAUUAGAGUUCUUUCUAGAAAAUCCUAUAUUUUCUUUAAUAAAAGCAGCCUUCUACCAAGACUUGUCAGUGUUAUGUGGUAAAAGUAGUUUUCCCUUAAUUGCUAUCGUUAUCAAAAUACUAAAUUUGAUUAUUAAGGAAGCAAGAGACAUCAGGGAAAUACAUAUGCCUCAGCAGUGAGGACCGCUGACUAAGGCAAAGGAAUCAUAGACUCCUGGAGAGUAUCGCACUAAUACCACGCCCGGUUCAGUCUAACAAGUAGAGACACAGACCCUAGAAGGUACCAAAUGAAAGGUACAGCUGGUAAGGUCUAAAACAGUGAACAACAGACCCCAGACAGUAUCAAAUGAAAGAUGCGUCUUGCAAGGUCAAAAUAAAGAAAACAGACCCCAGACGGUAUCAAAUGAAAGAUACAUCUUGUAAGGUCAAAACAGAGAAAACAGACCCUAGACAGUAUCAAAUGAAAGAUACAUCUUGUAAGGUCAAAACAGAGAAAACAGACCCCAUACAGUAUCAAAUGAAAGAUACGUCUAGUAAGGUCGAAACAAUGUGACUCUGAGAAUGAAUUACCAGCAUACAAUGUAAAUUGCCGGUGAAAUACCAUUACCUUAAAGCCAAUGAAUUAUAAGGUAACCCGGGAUACUCGUAACCAUACUGACUAGAGUACCAGACGCCCUACAAGCGUCUAAAAUGUGACAUUUGUCACCCGUUGGCUUGGUAGGCCGGGACUGUAGCUAGCAGUCUGGGUGCGGGGUUGUCAAUCCCGUAUAGAUCUAUACACACAAUGUCCGCUCUCCCUACAGGAGAUUCUGGUUACCAACUAGACGACGGAGAAGGCCGUGUCCUGAAGAUGCAUCCCAAAUAGUGGGUAGAGACUUCCAAAUAGUGGGUAUUAUGUAAGUGCUGAACUAGAGGUAGAGACUUCUAAAUAGUGGGUAGUGUGUUAGUGCUGAACUAGAGGCAGAGACUUCCAAAUAGUGGGUAGUGUGUUUCUAAUGUAAGUGUAGACUAGAGGUAGAGACUUUUAACUGAACUGACUAGAGAAUUCAUGUAUGUCCAUACUCAUAUACAUAAUAUAUAACUAAUGAAUCAAACGACCUUCGGACGGCCAUCCGAUCCCACCAGACCACAUCUCAACGAAGAAAAGGAAAUAGGGCGGACAAGCCUUCCUAAGUCCUUCAACCAUUAUUUAUAUGCAUCUAUACAAGCACAGACAUACAUCUAACUACGCUUGAGUGUGUAUCAAGUGGAAUCAUAUCGUGAAGUAUAAGUGUACAGUGUGGAAUAACCGACUUGUGAAGUAUAAGCGUACAGUGAAAUAUCCGAGUCGUGAAGUAUAAGCGUACAGUGGAAUAUCCGAGUCGUGAAGUAUAAGCGUACAGUGGAAUAUCCGAGUCGUGAAGUAUAAGCGUACAGUGGGAUAUCCGAGUCGUGAAGUAUAAGUGUAUAGAGUGGGAUAAUCGAAUCGUGAAGUAUAAGUGUACCAAGUAUAAGUGUAUCACGAAGUGGAAACGACAACUGGUGAAGUAAAAGCGUCUAUCAAGUAUAAGAGGCUACAAGUAUAAGCGAUAUAGAGACAAUAACCGGUAUAAGCGUAUCACGAAGGAAAUGCGUUAUCAAGUAGGAGUUUUAAAUAAGUAAAAGCGAAGCAGCAGUAACAAACAAGUAAAAGUAUACGUUGUGAAAGAGAACUUUGAUUAAAAUCUUGUAAAACCUUUAUAAACCAGUUUAAAGUGAGUUUUAAAUAAAGCAGUAUAAAUAAGAGUCUUGAAACAAACGAAAACCCUUUUUGAAAACCAUUAUAGUGUCCUACUCGGUAAAACAGUGUACAGUGUGGUAAAAUCUUGUGCAUGCGGGUUAUCAAUCACAUGUGAUUGAUAUGAUAACUGGCAUGUUUAACUUGUAUUCCCCCCUAUAAAACAUGUAAAAACAUUAAAAGGUUCAUUCAGGGGUAUGAACUCACCUGGUGUAAGUAGGUCCGACGAAGGUGUCGUUUGGGCGUUCGGUGUCACGUAAGGACUCGAACACACACAACGACCUAUUUAACAUAUGAUAACAUAUGUUCACAUACAAUUAGUAUAUUUAAUACUAAUUAAACAAAUAUACGCACUCAAAGGAGUGGAAAACACUUUGGUUAAGUGUUUGGGUGUCCCGGGUAGCGUCUAAAGGUGUGUAUGGCUUAGGUAUGGAGUUUACUCUCCGAGAGUAAACUCCCAAAGCUUAGUUUACGGCCCAGGGACAUCUCACCAUGAGUUUACGGCCGUAAACUCAUGGUGAGGGGUUCUAGUGUGUUUCAAAGCUUAAUCUUCUUCAUGGAAUUAUUCUAGGUCCAAAUCUAAGUGGUAUGGAUGAGUUUAAGGCUUCUAAGGGCACCAUUAUGAAGUUUACGGCCCAUGAACCAUCCCUAAGGGAGUUCACGGUCGUUAAUUCCUAUAUCAUGGAUUUAAUGAAGUUUUAAGCCCUUAAAUCAUUCCAAGCAUUUUAUAAAAAUAGUCUAAGGCCCUUUGGGGGGUAAAAACCAACAUUUGGGCAUGUUUUGGGGAGUUUACGGCCUUGACACAUGUUUGNGCUAAAGUUCUAGCACAAGAAAGUCGAAGUAUAUACUUUACUCGAUACAAACUCUUUUUUUUUGAAGAUCCACUAUGAUAAUGAGAAAGAUUUCUGUAUAUACGCCCAAAGCGGUCAAUAAUAUCAGAAUCUGAGAAAUCGGCCCAAAUCGCCUUACCAAUAGGAUGCCCCAAUGCAUUACAAAAUUUAGAUUUAGCCAAUGAUCCAAUCAAAGGCAUAAUUGGAACAAUAGUCUCAAACUUCUUAAUAGCAUUUUCAAUUAUAAAUGCAUUUUCUAGCAUUUGACUGCGUACCAUUGAAGGCUUUAGCCGCACACUUGAACGAUAACCCAGAAAGUCAAGGGAAUGAUUGGAUAAUUGGUUUAUAUAAAUCCUUCCUGGUUGAGACCACAGGUAAAAAUAAGAUUUCCAGAAAUUGACAAAGUAAUAUUUCCAUUUAUUCAUCAAAAGAAACGUCCCUUUUGAACCAAGAAUGGAUUUUCCUUGAUACCUAACAUAAUGCAUGAAAGGAUCUUUGAACAACCAUAAAUUCGCUUGAAAAGCCCUGGCAAAGACUUCUGCAAGAUGAUCUAUUUUUCCAUAGAAAUAUAUUCGUUCAAUAAGGGCUCCAGAAGAUGUUGAUCGUAAGUGAGAAGAUUGGUUACGGAGAAAGAGGAAGCCGGAUUCAUAUUCACAUAAAUGAGAAGUAUAUAGGAAGAAGAAUAGUCUGUGAUUUCUUUUUGAAAAAGAAGAACUGGCUUUCUUUGAAUUUGAAGUAAUCAGACUAUCCCAAUUAUGACACUCAUGGAGAAAGAAUCUUAAUAAAUGCAAAGAGGAAGCAUCUUUUAUCCAAUAGCGAAGAGCCUGAACCAAGAUUUCCAGAUGGGCUGGGUAAGGUAUUAGUAUAUCUAAUACAUAAUUUAAAUGUGAAAAGUUGUCCUCUAAAAAAGAAAAUAUUGAAUGAAUUGAUCGUAAAUUAUCGGAUUUGACUACCCCUUUCCUUUCUAGGUAAGAUAUUAAUCGCAGAGACAAUGGAAUUUCCAUAAUGAUUGAAGAGACCUCGGACAUUACUUGCGAAUAAAAAUUCUUGUUGUGCCCCAAAAAUGGAGUCUGUUUAGAAUUAUUAACCGAAAGAAUCAAAUGAUUCUGUUGAUACAUUCGAUUGAUUAAACGUUUCACAAUUAGUAAGCUGGAUUUAUUGUCAUAACCUGCAUUUUCCAACAAAAUCGAUCUAGUUAAACCAUGAUCAUGAGCAAGUACAUAAAUAUACUCCUGAAAGAUAAGUGGAUAUAAGAAGUGGUGUUGUUGAGAUCUAUCUAGCCCUAAAUAGCUUUGGAAUUUCUCCAUUUGAAAUUCUAUUUAAAUGAAAGGUAGAGGAUUUUGGGGGUUAUCAAAUGAUACAUA
This 5042-nucleotide long non-coding RNA is filed under the name Lactuca sativa (garden lettuce). RNAcentral's name for it is "long non-coding RNA (LSAT_LNC000264)". Lineage: Eukaryota; Viridiplantae; Streptophyta; Magnoliopsida; Asterales; Asteraceae. The record is from RNAcentral.